ACUCAAAUGAAUUGACGGGGGCCCGCACAAGCGGUGGAUGAUGUGGAUUAAUUCGAUGCAACGCGAAAAACCUUACCUACCCUUGACAUGUACGGAAGUCCGAUGAAAGUCGGAUGUGCUCGAAAGAGAACCGUAACACAGGUGCUGCAUGGCUGUCGUCAGCUCGUGUCGUGAGAUGUUGGGUUAAGUCCCGCAACGAGCGCAACCCUUGCCAUUAGUUGCUACAUUUAGUUGGGCACUCUAAUGGGACUGCCGGUGACAAACCGGAGGAAGGUGGGGAUGACGUCAAGUCCUCAUGGCCCUUAUGGGUAGGGCUUCACACGUCAUACAAUGGUCGGUACAGAGGGUUGCCAACCCGCGAGGGGGAGCUAAUCUCAUAAAACCGAUCGUAGUCCGGAUUGCAGUCUGCAACUCGACUGCAUGAAGUCGGAAUCGCUAGUAAUCGCGGAUCAGCAUGUCGCGGUGAAUACGUUCCCGGGCCUUGUACACACCGCCCGU
This 498-nucleotide ribosomal RNA is filed under the name uncultured bacterium. Its description in RNAcentral is "partial 16S ribosomal RNA". It matches the Rfam family "Bacterial small subunit ribosomal RNA", at positions 899 to 1397 of the family's 1533-position model. The record is from RNAcentral.